Molecule: long non-coding RNA, 177 nt
Organism: Papaver somniferum (opium poppy)
Lineage: Eukaryota; Viridiplantae; Streptophyta; Magnoliopsida; Ranunculales; Papaveraceae
Exons: 3
Source: RefSeq, a predicted model, not a curated record
GAAGGAAUUAGUGAGGAUUUUGUGGAGUUACUCAGCGGAGAAGUGAAUCGGAAGGAAUUGGUUUACUUAUGGAAUUUGAUGGGGGUUUGAUGUUAUGAAUGGCUGAGCAGUUAGUGAAUAUGACUUUUUCUGUUUGCAUAAUAUGCUAGAGGUAAUUUGCUGUCUGGAGGGAGCUAG